CGGCUUCUCUUUUCUGCCUUCGUAUCCUCUCUCUCUGUCAUGGAGCUAUCUUUCGUUUUGUUUCUCACCCCCCUCUCUGAGCCAUUCUUCCCUUCUUUUCGGUUAUUUUGAGCUCUCUUGCGUUUUGUUUCCUUUGUUUUUCUUUGUUGGUUAAUGUGACUUUUCUUCAUGGAGACGUACUGAAAUCUGUUCGGGUCUUCAUUUCUUUUGAUACCUUAUUCUUGAAUCCGUACUCUUCUUUCUUGUUUUGGGCGUUGGGCUCUUCCUCUUCUUUCGAACACUUCUUGCGCGCCAGAACUCCGAUGG
RNAcentral lists this long non-coding RNA (306 nucleotides) under Phoenix dactylifera (date palm). Its description in RNAcentral is "long non-coding RNA (PDAC_LNC007328)". Lineage: Eukaryota; Viridiplantae; Streptophyta; Magnoliopsida; Arecales; Arecaceae. The record is from RNAcentral.